UAAAAUCUUAGUGGCGACGGGUGAGUAACGCGUGGGUAACCUGCCUUACACUGGGGGAUAACACUUAGAAAUAGGUGCUAAUACCGCAUAAGCGCACGAAGCCGCAUGGAUUUGUGUGAAAAACUCCGGUGGUGUAAGAUGGACCCGCGUCUGAUUAGCUUGUUGCGGGGUAACGGCCCACCAAGGCGACGAUCAGUAGCCGGCCUGAGAGGGUGGACGGCCACAUUGGGACUGAGACACGGCCCAAACUCCUACGGAAGGCAGCAG
RNAcentral lists this ribosomal RNA (267 nucleotides) under uncultured bacterium. RNAcentral describes it as "partial 16S ribosomal RNA". It matches the Rfam family "Bacterial small subunit ribosomal RNA", at positions 85 to 354 of the family's 1533-position model. The record is from RNAcentral.